GAUGAAGAACGUAGCGAAAUGCGAUAAGUAAUGUGAAUUGCAGAAUUCAGUGAAUCAUCGAAUCUUUGAACGCACAUUGCGCCCCUUGGUAUUCCAUGGGGCAUGCCUGUUCGAGCGUCAUUUGUACCUUCAAGCUUUGCUUGGUGUUGGGUGUUUGUCCCUCGGGACUCGCCUUAAAGUCAUUGGCAGCCAGUGUUUUGGUUUUGAAGCGCAGCACAAGUCGCGAUUCAAGGCUAUCCGCCCGCUUCCACAAGCCUUUUUCACUUUUGACCUCGGAUCAGGUAGGGAUACCCGCUGAACUUAAGCAUAUCAAAAGCGGAGGA
This 323-nucleotide unclassified non-coding RNA is filed under the name soil metagenome. Its description in RNAcentral is "partial contains 5.8S ribosomal RNA, internal transcribed spacer 2, and large subunit ribosomal RNA". The stretch from base 1 to 120 matches the Rfam family "5.8S ribosomal RNA", at positions 35 to 154 of the family's 154-position model. The record is from RNAcentral.